Molecule: long non-coding RNA, 707 nt
Organism: Triticum dicoccoides
Lineage: Eukaryota; Viridiplantae; Streptophyta; Magnoliopsida; Poales; Poaceae
Exons: 3
Source: RefSeq, a predicted model, not a curated record
AGGUUGAACAAGUUUAUGUCUAAACUGUCAUAUUUAUUCACAGAUUUUGUCUACUUGCUUCAAAACAGAAAUGUGGCUUUUGCUUGCUGGUAAUUUGGGUUAUGGUGUGGCUGCCUAUUACUCAAGAUGAUCUCAUAUCAUAUCAUCAAUUUCAGGAACAUUAUCUCAGCUGUUGUUGAUUUUAGAACAGAUCGUUGGCAUUGUACCUUCAAGGGACUAUCCUUUUGCCUACUGAGCACACAAAACAAAUGUGUCUAUAUAUUUAUUUAAGUGAAACAACAUGCUUCCAUUUUUGGUCAAUCGGUGGAUCUGACUAAUACAUAACUACAUAUAUAUGUGUGAGGAAUUUGCAGCAGGAUCCCUUGCCUGUGCUCUCUGCUUGUCCUCACUCCUUAGACCUUCCCUUUGCUUAUCACCAUACAUUUUAUUCAGAGUGGUGUCAAGAUGCAUCUCCUCUGCCAAGAUGAUCGGCAGAGGGCCUAAGCUCUAGGGUCAAAUGGCGGGAAGUAUCAAGUCGAAGAUAUUAUGGCUUUUUUACAUCUUCUAUUUUCUUUAAAUGGAAGUUGAUGUUGGUUUGGUGAUCGAAGACUUGGGCUCUUCCAUAGUGUUUUGUAGAGUGAUCGAACACUUAAGUCUCUUAUGAACUAGGCCCAUAUUUUGUAACAUGCCACAACUUGUAUGUUGACUUGAGUAUUUGUUUCAAUGGU